RNAcentral lists this ribosomal RNA (119 nucleotides) under Pteropus alecto (black flying fox). Lineage: Eukaryota; Metazoa; Chordata; Mammalia; Chiroptera; Pteropodidae. The record is from RNAcentral.
GAAUGUGGCCGUGCUACCCUGAACAAGCCUGAUCCAGUCUGAUCUCGGAAGCUAAGCAGGGUCGGGCCUCGUUAGUACUUGGAUGGGAGACCACCUAGGAAGACCAGGUGCUGUAGGCU